Bicyclus anynana (squinting bush brown) is the source of this 1904-nucleotide long non-coding RNA. RefSeq lists it as uncharacterized. The transcript is spliced from 2 exons. The record is from RefSeq and is a predicted model, not a curated record. Lineage: Eukaryota; Metazoa; Arthropoda; Insecta; Lepidoptera; Nymphalidae.
CAGCAGGCUGAUUAUGUAUCUCGACGUAUCACUUCUAACUGUGUAACGCAAAGCUAAAUUGAACACUAGAGUGUUUUUGCAAUUCCGAUUAUGUAAGACAUAGGACUGCCACAAUGCCUAGUGAUAUCGUUCUAGGCGCAAAAUUUUAUCGACAUUAUGCGACUAAAUAAAAUACACCCUUUCUCGGUACUACUUACUACGGGCGCGGCAUACUUUUGCACAUAUUCGCAUUAUACUUGAUUUCGCUGUUUGUCUGUGGUGAAGUGAAGUGUUUUAAUUUCUUUGUUGGUAAACAAAGCCGUAUUAAAAUAUUAAUAAAAAAAUUGGUUUCGUUGGCUCAAAGUACUUGCAACAGCUAGUUUUUUGUUUUCAAUAGAAGUAAUUAAUUAAUCAUUUUAUCGUAUACAUUUUUAUUAGUGUUAAUAGUUAAUUUAUCAAAGUUAACGGCCACUUUUACAUAAAACAUUAACACGAAAGUUUUUCAAAGUUUUAUCGUCUGCCUAUGAUUAAUUUAAUGGUCGUUGUGAUAAUAUGUAAAGUAUAUUGUAUAGUGUUUUGUUUAUUAAAGUUCAUCGCUUGCAACUAAAGAUGUCCGGGAAACUCAAUGAUCGCCUUGGCUUGGAUCAAACUUGGCGAUGGGUUGUUUUGGAGGGCCUUUGGAAAGUCAGGCUACUAAAUAAACCUUCCGUGUUCUGUGUUCCGUGUCUGCCAGUGGAGUUGUAUUAAUAUGAAGAUGUGGGCUCUAAGCUUUGAGUGCCAGGGACUGACUAUGGAAGUCUCCAUGUCGCUGGUCACCAUUGAGGUGCAAAACACCUUGAAAAAAUUGGUGAUUCUGAAUCCUUCAUCUCUAUGAAUGAUUCAUGAAGAAAGAAUUAAACAAACAUUUAAUGAUCAGAUUUUUUAUAAAAUUAUUAUCAAUAAUGACAUUGCAUAUGAGAGAAAAUUGUCAAAUAUAAUUUCAUUUUAAUUUAAUAUAGUUAAUUAUGACAUCACUGUAUAUAAAGAAUAUGAUUAUUAUCAUUUGGUUAAUUUCAGUAUUACAUAGUAUUAGAUUAAAAUUUUAUUGUAAAAUUGCACAUCAAAAUAUGUUUUAUUAUCUAUUAUUAGGAGGAAAUAUUAUUUAACUAUUAUUAUUAUCCCUAAUAGCCCAGUGAAUGUGACCUCUGCCUCCAAUUCCGGAGGGUGUGGGUUCGAACCCGUUCCGGGGCACGCACCUCCAACUUUUCAGUUGUGUGCAUUUUAAGAAACUAAAUAUCACGUGUCUCAAACAGUGAAGGAAAACAUCGUGAGGAAACCUGCAUACCAGAGAAUUCUCUUAAUUCUCUGCAUAUGUGAUGUCUGCCAAUGUAAUCCAAAUAUGCUGGCCCAUAUUAGGCUCCUGUCAGAAUGAGAGGGGUUAGGCAUUGGCCUUCCCUUACCUUAUCAGCCGAUAGACGUCCACUGCUGGACAUAGACCUCUUACAUGGACCUCCAAGCACAACGACCUUGAGCCGCGAACAUCCAACCAACCGACCAACCACGCUUUCCAGUGCGGGGUCUCCCGAGUGCGGGUAGGCACUAACCCCUCUUACUGGGGGAGACUCGAGCUCAGCAGUGAGCCGAAUAUGUGUUUAUAAUGAUGAUGAUGAUGAUGAUGAUGAUGAUGAUGAUGAUGAUGAUGAUGAUGAUGAUUAUUUAAGUAAUUGUAAAAGAAAAAAUUGCAUACUACAUUAGUUGUUUAUCUAUACAAUUCAAUAAUUUUAAGAACAAAACAUGUACCUACCACAUUGUAGGAAAUAAAUAAAUAAUGAUUUGAUUAAAAACAAUGUUGUUUAAUGUUAAGCAGGUAGGGCCAUGUAGUUAAAGUAGAUACUCUAUAUUUGUGUAACAUCUAUUACUUAAAAAUAAAAAAUAUAUUUACUUGU